CCCCAGACUCCUACGGGAGGCAGCAGUGGGGAAUAUUGCACAAUGGGGGAAACCCUGAUGCAGCGACGCCGCGUGAGUGAAGAAGUAUUUCGGUAUGUAAAGCUCUAUCAGCAGGGAAGAAAAUGACGGUACCUGACUAAGAAGCCCCGGCUAACUACGUGCCAGCAGCCGCGGUAAUACGUAGGGGGCAAGCGUUAUCCGGAUUUACUGGGUGUAAAGGGAGCGUAGACGGCAUGGCAAGUCAGAUGUGAAAGCCCGGGGCUCAAUCCCGGGACUGCAUUUGAAACUGUCAGGCUGGAGUGCAGGAGAGGUAAGUGGAAUUCCUAGUGUAGCGGUGAAAUGCGUAGAUAUUAGGAGGAACACCAGUGGCGAAGGCGGCUUACUGGACUGUAACUGACGUUGAGGCUCGAAAGCGUGGGGAGCAAACAGGAUUAGAUACCCCUGUAACU
Molecule: ribosomal RNA, 449 nt
Filed under: uncultured bacterium
Lineage: Bacteria
Description: bacterial SSU rRNA
Rfam family: Bacterial small subunit ribosomal RNA
Source: RNAcentral